GAUGAACGCUGGCGGCGUGCCUGAUACAUGCAAGUCGAGCGAACAGACGAGGAGCUUGCUCCUCUGACGUUAGCGGCGGACGGGUGAGUAACACGUGGAUAACCUACCUAUAAGACUGGGAUAACUUCGGGAAACCGGAGCUAAUACCGGAUAAUAUAUUGAACCGCAUGGUUCAAUAGUGAAAGACGGUUUUGCUGUCACUUAUAGAUGGAUCCGCGCCGCAUUAGCUAGUUGGUAAGGUAACGGCUUACCAAGGCAACGAUGCGUAGCCGACCUGAGAGGGUGAUCGGCCACACCGGAACUGAGACACGGUCCAGACUCCUACGGGAGGCAGCAGUAGGGAAUCUUCCGCAAUGGGCGAAAGCCUGACGGAGCAACGCCGCGUGAGUGAUGAAGGUCUUCGGAUCGUAAAACUCUGUUAUUAGGGAAGAACAAAUGUGUAAGUAACUAUGCACGUCUUGACGGUACCUAAUCAGAAAGCCACGGCUAACUACGUG
This 497-nucleotide ribosomal RNA is filed under the name uncultured bacterium. Its description in RNAcentral is "partial 16S ribosomal RNA". It matches the Rfam family "Bacterial small subunit ribosomal RNA", at positions 28 to 507 of the family's 1533-position model. The record is from RNAcentral.